Molecule: long non-coding RNA, 1882 nt
Filed under: Theobroma cacao (cacao)
Lineage: Eukaryota; Viridiplantae; Streptophyta; Magnoliopsida; Malvales; Malvaceae
Description: long non-coding RNA (TCAC_LNC002979)
Source: RNAcentral
AGCAAAAUAAAUUCGUACAUACAGUAACACAGUGAGCCAAAGUGUAUAAUUUAAUUUACAAUGACGUGUGGACCCCCGAAUGACCAAAAGUAACAAAGACUAUGAACCUACGAUUUUUGAAGAUGCAAGUCCAACUGUAGCUCUCAACGAAAUCAGCUAUCUACAGACUAUCCUGAGUCUAAAAUGAGUGAAAAGGAGGGUGGUGAGUUUAUAUAAACUCAGUGAGUAAACAAACAUCAUCUAAAAUAUCUAAAACCGAGUAAAUGGAGACGAUUAAAAUAGAUCAUCAUAAGAUGAUUCAUAACCUCAAAACACAUUUCAAAUCAUCUAAACCAGUUACAUUUCAUCCAAAAUAUACGAAGCUUAUGAAUCUCUUAAAAACUUGGCUCGUGCCAAAACUCAUUCUUGGGGAUACCUUGAUCAGAGGCAUCCAAUCGAGACAGCCAAGGCGGUUAAAAAAAAGUUCAUAUACGCACAAAACACAUUUUUAUGUUUAAAAGCACAGUCGUUCCUUGGCGUUGGUUGAAUUCACUCUCACAUGGUGGUUUAGUGUGAAGUGAACUCUAAACUUUACCUCAGGAGUUACCCUCCACGCCUCUCGUACCGAGGUAAAAUAUAACAAGGUUUACCGUGCCCCUCUAAUAGGCUGGUCCACAAAAACCCGCCCACUGCUGUAAGCUAAUCGAUAUCCCACUAAAUCAAUAAAAUUCCAACAGCAUGACAUGGCAAUUAUUUUACAACACAGCAUGUCAAGGCAAAACAACAGUUCAUAUAUGGUUAGCACAAUUACCAAUCCAGCCACUCAUGCCCACAUUAUCAUAAGCCAUUCAAUUCAAACCAUGAUUUAUAACACAGCAAGUAGUCCCCAAUUACUCCAUUUUCAAAACCAUCAUUCAAUUUCAAGACAAUUUUAUAAAAUCAUUUCAUUUAAUCACAUUUUACUUGUAAAACAUAAAGAUUUACCAUUUAAACUCAUUUUUCUAUCAAAUCACAAAAACGAAUGAAAACUACUUUAGAUAAUUAAGACGAUAAUAAGGUUACUCACAAUAUCGGGAGUUCGAAGUACCCUACUCUUGGUCCUCUGGCAUAAUGUCUUUACCCUUGUUAGAGGACUCACCAUCUAUACACAAUACACGAUAAAUAAUUCAAUAUAUUGUGUCAUAUCAUUAUAAAUCUAUUUCAGGCUCAAUAUGAAUGCAUGAGGUUGUUUGGAUAGUCAGUUAAAAAUGGAAUUCACGUUGGUUCAAGGGUGAUCGGAAUGGAUCAAUUUUCGACCUAAUUUGAACUCUUCACUUUUGAUUUAACCAAAACAUCCAAAUUGACUCCAAAUAAAUUCAUUUCACUUCCAAUACUCCAAAUCAUCAAAUAUAAGCUAGAUAACAUGAAUUAUAGCAAAAUCAUCCUCAACAUUUUCUCUUGGAAAAUUCGGCCAUGGUGGGUGCAUAAGCACUAUGGUUUUUCACACUUGAUUUUUUUACACCAUAAAUCAUUAAUUCCUAACCAAAUCACUUGAAAUAAAAUAAAAUCCACCAUUCACAUACCAUAAGGAAGAUUCGGCCAAUGAGGGUGAUGUAAGAACAUGAAUUUUUCUUGUUUACUUUUUAUAUUACACAUCACCAACCAACUAAAAACACUAGAAUAACAUGAAAUCUAGCUAAAUCCUAGAUCAAAACUCCUCCCCCCAUGUCCGGCCAGCAAAGGUAUCCUCAUGCAAACUUGAUUCUCAACCAUGGAAAAUGAAAAAGAAUGCAUAGGAAAGGUAGAUCACAAGCUAAAAUCAAGAAAUUUUACCUUUACUUGCUCAAUUCCUUGAAAUCCACCAAUUUUCUCUUGAAUUUUCUAACUAGGGUUUUGUUCUUUCUUUCUUUCCUCUUUUCCUUGG